Molecule: ribosomal RNA, 465 nt
Filed under: Vreelandella stevensii
Lineage: Bacteria; Pseudomonadati; Pseudomonadota; Gammaproteobacteria; Oceanospirillales; Halomonadaceae
Description: partial 16S ribosomal RNA
Rfam family: Bacterial small subunit ribosomal RNA
Source: RNAcentral
CCUACGGGGGGCAGCAGUGGGGAAUAUUGGACAAUGGGGGGAACCCUGAUCCAGCCAUGCCGCGUGUGUGAAGAAGGUCCUCGGGUUGUAAAGCACUUUCAGUGAGGAAGAACGCCUGGUGGUUAAUACCCAUCAGGAAAGACAUCACUCACAGAAGAAGCACCGGCUAACUCCGUGCCAGCAGCCGCGGUAAUACGGAGGGUGCGAGCGUUAAUCGGAAUUACUGGGCGUAAAGCGCGCGUAGGUGGCUUGAUAAGCCGGUUGUGAAAGCCCCGGGCUCAACCUGGGAACGGCAUCCGGAACUGUCAAGCUAGAGUGCAGGAGAGGAAGGUAGAAUUCCCGGUGUAGCGGUGAAAUGCGUAGAGAUCGGGAGGAAUACCAGUGGCGAAGGCGGCCUUCUGGACUGACACUGACACUGAGGUGCGAAAGCGUGGGUAGCAAACAGGAUUAGAUACCCCUGUAGUC